AUUGAACGCUGGCGGAAUGCUUUACACAUGCAAGUCGAACGGCAGCACGGGGCAACCUGGUGGCGAGUGGCGAACGGGUGAGUAGUACAUCGGAACGUGCCCAAUCGUGGGGGAUAACGUAGCGAAAGUUACGCUAAUACCGCAUACGAUCUACGGAUGAAAGCGGGGGAUCGCAAGACCUCGCGCGAAUGGAGCGGCCGAUGUCAGAUUAGGUUGUUGGUGAGGUAAAGGCUCACCAAGCCGACGAUCUGUAGCUGGUCUGAGAGGACGACCAGCCACACUGGGACUGAGACACGGCCCAGACUCCUACGGGAGGCAGCAGUGGGGAAUUUUGGACAAUGGGCGCAAGCCUGAUCCAGCAAUGCCGCGUGCAGGACGAAGGCCUUCGGGUUGUAAACUGCUUUUGUACGGACGAAAAGCCUUCUUCUAAUACAGGAGGUCAUGACGGUACCGUAAGAAUAAGCACCGGCUAACUACGUGCCAGCAGCCGAC
RNAcentral lists this ribosomal RNA (492 nucleotides) under uncultured bacterium. Its description in RNAcentral is "bacterial SSU rRNA". It matches the Rfam family "Bacterial small subunit ribosomal RNA", at positions 30 to 518 of the family's 1533-position model. The record is from RNAcentral.